AAAGCAUUACGUAAGAAUAUAAUACGUGUACAUAUAGCAGAACAUGCCACGUUGAAGUACUCCACAUAGGUUCCAAAAAAAUAAUAUAGUAGAUAAAGAACUUCCCGUCGAUGGAUCAAUGAUAAGCAAAAAAAAUAUUACUCUAACCUAAACAAAUAAGGAGCCUAUUAUUAACAAACAAGGACAACCACCUCACGCGAGGAAAGUUCCAGAUCAGGAACAAAUACAUGCAAAUAAAACAAGUCUGAUUUGCACACGGUGCAUAAGUCUGAUUUGCACAUGGUGUUGGCAUCUGAUUUGCAGCCGGUCUCAGCCACCACAAUCCAAGACACCUAAAAGUAUAUAAAUAAGUACACACGAACGCACAAGUACCCACCAAACAAUUAGAAGCCAACGACCACGACGACUUGAACACAUCACACGCGACUCAACGUCCAGACGAAAAAGCCACCUCCAGCCGCUUCACUCGACGCCUGACAUAGUCACGCGAAAGCACGCUCAGCGCCCGACGAAGCGACGCCUGCUCCAAUCUAAGUCGAAAGAAUUGACGCCAAAGCAAAUCUAGCCUGAAUCAUCAGAUUUGGUAAUUGUUAUUUCACAAGCUUACUUUUGAUGGAUAGAAUCUUCAUAAAUACUAUAUCAAUUGAUAAAUUGUUCCCUGUUAGUUUUGAAGAUAUAAGAAUAUGGCAUACAAGAAGUUGAGCGACUUAACUACAAGGGGACAGAAUUGGAAUAUUCAAGUGAAAGUAAUGAGAAUGUGGGAUUCAGUGAAUCCUACGACCGAUGAGCUUAUUAGCCUAGAUAUGAUACUGAUGGAUGAGCAGGUCUGUUUUCUAAUAUAUUAAAUUAGAAUUUUUCUGUCGGAUGAAGCAACUUACUAACCCUAUUUGAUUCUUUUAACAGGAUGAAACAAUCCAUGCUACUAUCUACAAUCCAUGCUACUAUCUGGAAGAAUCUUAUAGACACUUUUAGAUCAAAGAUCAAUGAAAAGUCUAUUUAUGCAUUCAGCAAUUUUAAGGUCGCGGAAUCCACAAAAUAUAGGCCAGUGAGCAAUGAAAUUAAAAUAUAUUUUGCAUACAAUACAAAGGUAAAGGAAAUAAAAGGAUCUUCGGAAGUUUUCCCGAAAUAUUGCUUUGAGUUUGCUACCAUGGACACACUAGAAGAAAGGGCGGAAAAAGAUACACAAUGCUCAGGUAUGUUUGUGGAUGUAAUUACGACCUCCAAAUAAUGGAUAUUUCUAAUUUUUAUAUCACUAUAAUCUCCAAAUAUGCAGAUGUCAUUGGACUACUAACUCAAAUGAAGCCAGUGGAGACAAGAAUAACAAAAAGGAACCCACAACCUUCAUAUAUCCACGAGAUUGAAAUCCUAAUGCCAGAGUAAGUGCAUAUGCAUGUCUCAAAUUUAACUAAACCUCCCCCAUGUGGUUAACACUAACUUCUUAGAUUAUAUUCUUUAGGGGUGAUAAAAUCAGAAUCACGUUGUGGGAAAAGUUUGCUUAUUUUUUGACCGAGGAUGUAAUCGGCAGCCAAACUGUCCUUAUUAUCACAUCAACGAUGGUGCAGAGAUUCAAUGGUAAGUGCAUAAAUCUUACAUGCUAUUCUUAUCAUUUACAAAUUCUAACUGAAUGAUUAAAUAGGUUUGUGCCUAAAGUCAAUGAGUGCCACAAGGAUAUAUAUAUAGAUCUGGAUAUACCAGAAACACAAGAACUUCUUGAUAGGUAUGAAACACCACCGAUUUAUAUAUUUUCACUCAUAAUUACUAAGUCAGGUUGAUUAAAGGUUGUAUAUUCUUAUUUACUUCAUACAUGUGCAGGAACUCAGCCGAAGAAACCUUACCAAAGAUGGGCAGUAUAGAUAGAAGUAAUCAAGGAACACUAGAAGAACAGAUGUUUUAUAGGAGGAGAACAUUAGAAGAACUUACUGCAAUGAGGCACGGAAACCAGCCAGACCAGGUAACGCAUCAAAAUUCCAAUAAAUGAUAUCAUCAAUCUUCGUGAUACGCGAUAAGAC
Molecule: long non-coding RNA, 2009 nt
Filed under: Triticum aestivum (bread wheat)
Lineage: Eukaryota; Viridiplantae; Streptophyta; Magnoliopsida; Poales; Poaceae
Description: long non-coding RNA (TAES_LNC022579)
Source: RNAcentral